RNAcentral lists this ribosomal RNA (581 nucleotides) under uncultured Geodermatophilaceae bacterium. RNAcentral's name for it is "bacterial SSU rRNA". It matches the Rfam family "Bacterial small subunit ribosomal RNA", at positions 148 to 742 of the family's 1533-position model. The record is from RNAcentral. Lineage: Bacteria; Bacillati; Actinomycetota; Actinomycetes; Geodermatophilales; Geodermatophilaceae.
UCCAAGAAAUUGGGGCUAAUACCGGAUAUGUCCGCUGACCGCAUGGGUGGUGGUGGAAAGGGUUUCCGGCUGGGGAUGGGCCCGCGGCCUAUCAGGCUUGUUGGUGGGGUAGUGGCCUACCAAGGCGACGACGGGUAGCCGGCCUGAGAGGGUGACCGGCCACACUGGGACUGAGACACGGCCCAGACUCCUACGGGAGGCAGCAGUGGGGAAUAUUGCGCAAUGGGCGAAAGCCUGACGCAGCGACGCCGCGUGGGGGAUGACGGCCUUCGGGUUGUAAACCUCUUUCAGCAGGGACGAAGCGCAAGUGACGGUACCUGCAGAAGAAGCGCCGGCCAGCUACGUGCCAGCAGCCGCGGUAAUAGGUAGGGUGCAAGCGUUGUCCGGAAUUAUUGGGCGUAAAGAGCUCGUAGGCGGUUCGUCGCGUCGGCUGUGAAAACCUGAGGCUCAACCUCAGGCCUGCAGUCGAUACGGGCGGACUUGAGUUCGGCAGGGGAGACUGGAGUUCCUGGUGUAGCGGUGAAAUGCGCAGAUAUCAGGAGGAACACCGGUGGCGAAGGCGGGUCUCUGGGCCGAAACUG